RNAcentral lists this long non-coding RNA (235 nucleotides) under Drosophila guanche. Lineage: Eukaryota; Metazoa; Arthropoda; Insecta; Diptera; Drosophilidae. The record is from RNAcentral.
CCCCAUCCACCCUUCAGCCAUCAGCCAUUAAGCGCAGCUCAUAUGUUACCCAGGGAGAGCGCAAGAGUAUCUCACACGUGAAAUGAUUUAUUAGCGGUAAUUGGUGUCAAAGUGUUCCGAAGAAAAUGAAAGGAAAGAAAAGGAAAGGAUUGUCUGUGUUCUCUGUGUUCUCUUUGUUCUCUGUCUUCUCUGUGUUCUCGGUUCUCUCUCCGCUCUGUCCUCUUCUUGUACUGCC